UUCUUUGUAUGAGGGGUGCAGUAUCCUAGUUGAUACAUCUAUUACGAAGACGAGCCUAAAAAUUCGUUAAAGAGCAUACCGAUGAAACUUCUUGUGCUUGCUUGAUUCGCCCAGAAUUGGGUGGGUGCUGGAAGGUAGUUUUAUGGGAAAUUUAUAAUGGCAUAUAAGUGAUCCCCAUUUAACGUUGAGACUUAAUUUUGUGCAUAAUGUACGGAUUAAGAUUAAACCUACUUUGAGGCGAAAGCUUUGGGUAGAGUAGCUUGCCUUGAGUGAAUGUACUUGGGAUUGUAGUUUGUGUAAUAUUAUUUAUGGCCAAAAUAUAUUAUAUGGUAUUACUAUAUGAAACUACAUUUGCAAAAGAGACUAGUAAUAGAUAAAUAUCAGGGAGGAAAUCUUCUAGGCUGUAUGCUGACAUAAGAUUGCAGUGCGUACUAAGUGGUAAUCAAGUCGUAUACUUAGGUGACGGUAUAUACAUUCAUUAAAGGGGAACCGCCUUUUGGUAACGAAAGGUUCGAAUUGUGGGAAAUCCUACUUGACCUAUGACGCAAAGUUAAUUAUUUCAGUACCAGUCAUAUUUUUU
This 580-nucleotide small RNA is filed under the name bovine gut metagenome. The record is from RNAcentral.